Molecule: ribosomal RNA, 114 nt
Filed under: Pteropus alecto (black flying fox)
Lineage: Eukaryota; Metazoa; Chordata; Mammalia; Chiroptera; Pteropodidae
Also listed under: 1 other name
Source: RNAcentral
GUCUACGGCCACACUACCCUGAACAAGCCCAAUCCUGCCUGAUCUCGGAAGAUAAGCAGGGUCAGGCCUGAUUAGUAUUUGGAGACCACCUAGGAAGACCAGGUGCUGUAGGCA